RNAcentral lists this ribosomal RNA (315 nucleotides) under Triticum aestivum (bread wheat). RNAcentral describes it as "partial small subunit ribosomal RNA". Lineage: Eukaryota; Viridiplantae; Streptophyta; Magnoliopsida; Poales; Poaceae. The record is from RNAcentral.
AUGGAGGCCUCGCCGCCGCCGCCGAGCUCGCUGCGGCGCAGACUGCGGGCCACGGUGUGCUGCUGCUUCGGCUACGGCGGCCGGGCGCGGUGGGGCGGGCGGGACAGCCGCGGCGUCGGCAGGUACGACCCGCUCAGCUACGCGCUCAACUUCGACGAGGGCCCCGACGACAGCGACGACGACGUCAACUACGACGACUUCAGCGACGGCGGCCUCCUCUACCGUAGCUUCCCUUCGCCGCCGCCGCCGCCUCAGCCGGCCCGGGCGCGGGCGUCGUCGAUACCGGCGCCGCGGCCGGCCGUCGCGGCCGCGUAG